GGGGGUUUGUAUUCACAUCCAGCUAUGUGCGAGCCCUUUGCCCAAAUUAAGAACUGAAAAGGGCGAAAGAGCCAGAAGGACAAGUGAAGUCAUGAGGACUCAGCCGCAGAGCACAGCAUGGAGCCCUUUUUCACAUCUUGAGAGGCAAAUCUUGGGACUUGCACACACAUCUUUCUCAUCUGGCUUCUGUGUCCAGAGGCUGAUGAAGAACCUGGGUGCACAAAGCAGUGACGUGAGGCCCCAUGACCUGUGUUCUCAGAGACCAAGCUUCUCACUUAGGCUACUAGCAUUUGGCUUUGGGCAAGUCACUACACAUCUUUGGAUGCAGUUGUGUCAUUUCUUCCUCUAGGCAGAGCCAUGGACCGAAAGUAACAAAACCUAGAUUCUCACUUUGGCCCUCCUACACCAGGCAGUUCACAUAUUCUAGGCAGAUGCUUAUGUUUUUCUGCUAAUUCAACCCCCCUUUCUCCUUUGUCCCUCUUUUUCAGUAAAAUGUGAUCCACUCCUACUUCUCACAUAUACACAUAUAGUCGGUCAAAACAACAACAAAAACAACAACAACAAAACAUUCCCUUCCAACACCAUCAAUUCAUAGAAUCAUGAAUGGGGAGGGAAAAUGCUUAUUCAAAUUUCCAGAAAUGCUGGGAAGGUUUGGGAGUAAGAUUUCAUUCUGAAAAGGGGCUCACUUUUCCCCACCCUUCCCUUACUGUUCUGAAUCAGGCAUACUGCCUCCUAUGCGCAGAAGGAAAUGGUCCUCUUAUUAACUGGGACCUCCAAUCACAUGCUAUGUUCUAGAGAUUAGAGUAGACUUCUCACAAGAGGUAAUUUAGUUAACAAAUAUGCAUUAUAUUUCCAGGAGAGCUCAUGCUUUAAUCACCAUGCUAUGUACUGCAUAUACAUAUCUCUCUUUUAAACCUCACAACCUUCAGAUAGAUUAAAUGACUUGCCCAGGGUCACAGAGCUAGUACCUAAUGCCAUCAGACUUCAUGUCCAGGCAGCCUCAAACCUUCAUCAUCAUCUCAUGCAUCCUCUCAGAAAGAAUGAGUCUGACUUUCAUGUGGCUACCCUCAGGAAUGUUAAACCUGAAGAUCUUUUCCUUUGUUUCCACUUUAACAGUUAA
This is a long non-coding RNA of Herpailurus yagouaroundi (jaguarundi), 1120 nucleotides long. RefSeq lists it as uncharacterized. NCBI's taxonomy places the organism in Eukaryota, Metazoa, Chordata, Mammalia, Carnivora, Felidae. The record is from RefSeq and is a predicted model, not a curated record. The transcript has 3 exons.